This 253-nucleotide ribosomal RNA is filed under the name uncultured bacterium. Its description in RNAcentral is "partial 16S ribosomal RNA". It matches the Rfam family "Bacterial small subunit ribosomal RNA", at positions 524 to 776 of the family's 1533-position model. The record is from RNAcentral.
UACGUAGGGGGCAAGCGUUGCUCGGAAUUACUGGGCGUAAAGGGCGCGUAGGCGGGUCGUUUAGUUAGAGGUGAAAGCCCAGGGCUCAACCCUGGAAUUGCCUUUAAUACUGGCGGCCUUGAGUAUGGCAGAGGUGUGUGGAACUCCGAGUGUAGAGGUGAAAUUCGUAGAUAUUGGGAAGAACACCGGUGGCGAAGGCGGCUCACUGGCUCAUUACUGACGCUCAGGCGCGAUAGCGUGGGGAUCAAACAGG